RNAcentral lists this ribosomal RNA (485 nucleotides) under uncultured bacterium. RNAcentral describes it as "partial 16S ribosomal RNA". It matches the Rfam family "Bacterial small subunit ribosomal RNA", at positions 30 to 507 of the family's 1533-position model. The record is from RNAcentral.
AUUGAACGCUGGCGGCAGGCUUAACACAUGCAAGUCGAGCGGGGAAAGGUAGCUUGCUACCUGACCUAGCGGCGGACGGGUGAGUAAUGCUUAGGAAUCUGCCUAUUAGUGGGGGACAACAUCUCGAAAGGGAUGCCAAUACCGCAUACGUCCUACGGGAGAAAGCAGGGGACCUUCGGGCCUUGCGCUAAUAGAUGAGCCUAAGUCGGAUUAGCUAGUUGGUGGGGUAAAGGCCUACCAAGGGGACGAUCUGUAGCGGGUCUGAGAGGAUGAUCCGCCAGACUGGGACUGAGACCCGGCCCAGACUCCUACGGGAGGCAGCAGUGGGGAAUAUUGGACAAUGGGGGGAAACCUGAUCCAGCCAUGCCGCGUGUGUGAAGAAGGCCGUUUGGUUGUAAAGCACUUUAAGCGAGGAGGAGGCUACCGAGAUUAAUACUCUUGGAUAGUGGACGUUACUCGCAGAAUAAGCACCGGCUAACUCUGUG